CAACACAAGUUUGCGGUUUGCAAAAGUAAAGGUGUAUGUGUUGAGAAAGCCAUCAUGAAUUACGCGUCUGCCAUAUUCCCAUGGUCGUCCGAGAAGGAGGUGGCAAGCAUCCAUAGGCACUAUGUCACAGUAAACUUCAUCUUGGUACGACGAGCCAACAGAGAAUGAUAUGAGAACACGUCGAGCGAUGAUAAGGUCAUGAUCUUGUUGUAUCCAAGCAAGUUUAUAAGGAGAAGGGUGUGGUUCAUCUUUCAGAUCAAGCUUCUGAACGGCAUCAGCGGCAAUGACGUUCUCAGUACUCCCCGAGUCAA
Molecule: long non-coding RNA, 311 nt
Filed under: Brassica napus (rape)
Lineage: Eukaryota; Viridiplantae; Streptophyta; Magnoliopsida; Brassicales; Brassicaceae
Description: long non-coding RNA (BNAP_LNC014165)
Source: RNAcentral